RNAcentral lists this ribosomal RNA (552 nucleotides) under uncultured Microbispora sp. RNAcentral describes it as "bacterial SSU rRNA". It matches the Rfam family "Bacterial small subunit ribosomal RNA", at positions 125 to 691 of the family's 1533-position model. The record is from RNAcentral. Lineage: Bacteria; Bacillati; Actinomycetota; Actinomycetes; Streptosporangiales; Streptosporangiaceae.
CCUGCCCUAGGCUUUGGGAUAACCCUCGGAAACGGGGGCUAAUACCGAAUAUUCACUGCUGGUCGCAUGGCUGGUGGUGGAAAGUUUUUCGGCUUGGGAUGGGCUCGCGGCCUAUCAGCUUGUUGGUGGGGUAAUGGCCUACCAAGGCGACGACGGGUAGCCGGCCUGAGAGGGCGACCGGCCACACUGGGACUGAGACACGGCCCAGACUCCUACGGGAGGCAGCAGUGGGGAAUAUUGCACAAUGGGCGGAAGCCUGAUGCAGCGACGCCGCGUGAGGGAUGACGGCCUUCGGGUUGUAAACCUCUUUCAGCAGGGACGAAGCGAGAGUGACGGUACCUGCAGAAGAAGCGCCGGCCAACUACGUGCCAGCAGCCGCGGUAAGACGUAGGGCGCGAGCGUUGUCCGGAUUUAUUGGGCGUAAAGAGCUCGUAGGCGGCUUGUCGCGUCGACUGUGAAAACCCACAGCUCAACUGUGGGCUUGCAGUCGAUACGGGCAGGCUAGAGUUCGGUAGGGGAGACUGGAAUUCCUGGUGUAGCGGUGAAAUGCGC